This 495-nucleotide ribosomal RNA is filed under the name uncultured bacterium. RNAcentral describes it as "partial 16S ribosomal RNA". It matches the Rfam family "Bacterial small subunit ribosomal RNA", at positions 28 to 507 of the family's 1533-position model. The record is from RNAcentral.
GACGAACGCUGGCGGCGUGCCUAAUACAUGCCAGUAGAACGCUGAAGGAGGAGCUUGCUUCUCUGGAUGAGUUGCGAACGGGUGAGUAACGCGUAGGUAACCUGCCUGGUAGCGGGGGAUAACUAUUGGAAACGAUAGCUAAUACCGCAUAAGAGUAGAUGUUGCAUGACAUUUGCUUAAAAGGUGCAAUUGCAUCACUACCAGAUGGACCUGCGUUGUAUUAGCUAGUUGGUGAGGUAACGGCUCACCAAGGCAACGAUACAUAGCCGACCUGAGAGGGUGAUCGGCCACACUGGGACUGAGACACGGCCCAGACUCCUACGGGAGGCAGCAGUAGGGAAUCUUCGGCAAUGGACGGAAGUCUGACCGAGCAACGCCGCGUGAGUGAAGAAGGGUUUCGGAUCGUAAAGCUCUGUUGUAAGAGAAGAACGAGUGUGAGAGUGGAAAGUUCACACUGUGACGGUAUCUUACCAGAAAGGGACGGCUAACUACGUG